This is an RNA transcript of Solanum dulcamara, 6399 nucleotides long. It is a transcript of the gene named ENHANCER OF AG-4 protein 2, with no coding region annotated. The record is from RefSeq and is a predicted model, not a curated record. Lineage: Eukaryota; Viridiplantae; Streptophyta; Magnoliopsida; Solanales; Solanaceae. The transcript is spliced from 13 exons.
UACAAUAUCAUUACUACGGUCAUUUCUCUCUCUCUCUCUCUCUCUCUCAUCCACCGCCACACACAAACCCACUUUUUCUCUCUAAAUGCAAAAUUCUAAUGUAGAGAGCAGCAACUCUGUGUGCAACUCCGUCGAUUCCGAUGCCCCGCUCUCCGUCGACAGCCCAUUCUCCGCCGGCGAAGCUGACGUAUCUUUCAUCUGAGUUCUAGGGUUUUUCAUUCGCUCCACCAAUUAGGAACACUUUUUUCAAUAUAAUUCUGAAGACGAAGCAAGCAUAGUUACAGAAACUCCAUAUCCCCAAGUAUAGAUAGGGUGUUCUAUUUCCGGCUUUGUUUGUGAUCGGAGGUAAACAUACGCAAAGCAUACCCUUUUGCGGGAGGGUAGUAUAUCUAGGGUUUUGAUAGAAUUAAGGCAUGGCUCCAGGUCGUAAACGUGGAGCUAAAGGAGUGAAGUCAAUGAGCGAGUUGAGUCUGGGUGAUCUUGUCCUUGCUAAGGUUAAAGGCUUCCCUGCUUGGCCUGCUAAGAUUAGCAAACCAGAAGAUUGGGAUCGAGCUCCUGAUCCUAAAAAGUAUUUUGUCCAGUUCUUUGGUACACAGGAAAUAGCAUUUGUCGCCCCAGCAGAUAUUACGGCAUUUACCAUUGAUGUUAAAAAUAAAGUGUCAGCACGAUGUCAGGGUAAAACAGUAAAACAUUUUGCCAAAGCAGUGAAGCAAAUCUGUGAAGAAUUUGAAGAGUUACAGAAGAAAGAUUCCAGUGUUUCAGGAGAUGAGGCCUAUAAAACAGCUCCAGGCUGUGUUGUAGCUUCUGUUGAAAGGGUGACUGCUGCUGCUGAGUUGGACCAAAUGGACAGAGAAAAGAAGUGUAAGCAAGAAACAGAUAUCAAAAGCUUAGUAGAGGGAUCUGGGUUAGAGCGCUGCUCGAUGAUAAAAGAUGAUACAACUGAUAUCAUUUCUCAUGAUUCAGAGGUUAAUUUGCCUCCUUCAAUUUCAUCUAUAAAGAAGGUUUCAAUUCCCAGUAGGAUUUCUAAUUCAAGAAAGGAGUUGGCUUCAUUGCCUAAUCCCGAAAGCACUCAUGAUAACCUAAGUGAGGACAACAGAGAUCCCGAGGAGCAUGAUAAGCAAUUGAUCCACAAGGAGAACUUGAGAUCUGCUGAGAGGAGUCAUUUUCCUGAUGCAGAUUUUCCUCCUCCUACAUCAUCUGCUGAUGUGAAGCAGCUUGAUGGUGGUCAGAAGCAACUGACAAAUGGACACAAAGCAAAGCUGGCGAAGAGGAAAGCUGGGGGUGGACAUGAAGUGCAAAGAAUUAGUGAUACUGCCAGUGAUCUGACUGUUAAAACAGCAAGUGCAAAAAAAUUAGUGCCAGAGGUUAAGUCAGGUACUGAUGGUAGAAAAAAGGUAAAAAGACAGAAUGAUAGAAAACCUGAGACAGUGGAUGCUGUUCUCAGCCAUAUAGAGGAGAAAAAAUUUCAGUCUAGCAAGAAAUUGAAAGCUGAACCUGGACAGAUGUUGCGACGUAAUGAAAUAGCAGAUCCCUCUAAGAAGAUCAAAUGUGCUGAUGGGGCAAUGGAUGCCGUUAUGGUGAGCAAAAUUUAUGAUGAAGCUAAAGUGGUGAAAUCAGAGGUUAAAAAAUCAAUACCACUGGGAAAAGCCGAGGGUCACACUUCGCUGAAAUUGCAUGAAGGUGCUAUUGGUUCAAAUAAUUGUGGUGAAGAAGAUACUCUCCCACCGUCAAAGCGCCAUCGACGGGCAAUGGAGGCUAUGUCUAGCUCCUCUCCUGUUCCUCAACUUCCUACUAAGCGGAGAGCUGUCCGUUUGUGUGUGGAUAAUGAAAAUGAAGAGCCUAAAACUCCAAUUCAUGGAGGAUCUAUUAAGAGAGAUGCUAUUUCUCGUGGCCCCAAUUUGGUGAAGAAGCCUGACCUAUCUACUGGAACAGCUAGUAAUGACCAACUGAGUGUGAAAGACUCAGGCACAAUUGAGGAUAGCUCUAUCAAGGAGCAUGCACCAUCUGUCAGACUACACAAAGAACUUUCUGUGCGUGUUCCUCAGAAAAAUGUGGAGAAAAAGCGUAUACCUACUGAUAGAAGUGUUUCAUGUAGUCCUGGGAAAUUUGGAACUCCAAAAACUUCUAGGGAAGGUAAAACUGAUAUUGUAUCCCCCAAAAAAUCCCCUGGGUUCACUGACAAACCAGUCUCAGAGCCGCAAAAAGGUGCUAAACUACCUGGUAAACCCCAGGGUGAUCAUAGAAAGUUGGUAGCUGAAUUUAAUACAGGCAAUAUUAUUGGUGCUGAUAACUUAAAUCCUUUUCGUGAUCAACCUAUUAAUGAAAGAAGUAAGAUGGUUUCUACUAGUGAAAGGAAAAAAACAACCCCAAGGUCUAGUUCCUUGAUGACUGAACCUACUCUUGUGCCUGGUAAUGCUGUUGAAAGCAUGUCUACACGGUUAGAAAGGCUGGAAGCUGUGAGAGAUGAGAAGCUUAAUUCUUUGAUAGAUUCUAAAGUUCUGGACCAGGAUAUGUCCAUGAAACAUCUUAUAGCAGCUGCCCAGGCUAAAAGGCGGCAAGCUCACUUGCAGAGCAUUUAUGGUAAUACCCUUGCUGCUGUGGCCCCCUAUACUGAACCACAGGGAGGGAGCCCCCAUCCAACUCUUGGUUCUCAACCAUUAAGCUCUGGCAUGCUGCAUCCUGAAAUACAAGUUUUAUUUUCUCGCUCAUCUCCUUCAUCUGAGAUUCAGCAGUUUUCAUCGAUAAAUCCACCUGAGCCUGAAGAAAAUGAGGAGAAGAGAGUAAUUUCAGGACUGGGGGCCUCUGGGGGCUCACUCAGUGGUGGCACUGAGGCAGCUGUUGCUCGUGAUGCUUUUGAAGGAAUGAUAGAAACAUUAUCACGGACCAAAGAGAGUAUUGGACGUGCAACCCGUCUAGCUAUUGAUUGUGCAAAGUAUGGCAUUGCUAAUGAGGUCGUGGAACUUCUUACCCGGAAGUUGGAAAAUGAACCUAGCUUUCAUCGCAGGGUGGACCUGUUCUUUUUGGUGGAUUCUAUAACUCAGUGCUCUCAUAGUCAUAAAGGCAUAGCAGGAGCAUCAUAUAUUCCUGCUGUUCAAGCUGCAUUACCUCGUCUUUUGGGAGCUGCUGCUCCACCAGGAGUGGGUGCCCGGGAAAAUCGUCGUCAAUGUCUCAAGGUUUUGCGAUUAUGGCUUGAGAGGAAAAUAUAUCCUGAUUCUCUUCUUCGUCGUCAUAUGGAUGAUAUUGGUACGACGAAUGAUGAUUCGUCUGGUGGUUUGUCCUUUAGACGGCCAUCUCGAGCUGAGCGUGCUAUUGAUGAUCCUAUUAGAGAGAUGGAAGGCAUGCUUGUUGAUGAGUAUGGCAGCAAUGCUACAUUCCAGUUGCCUGGAUUUUUAUCUUCUCACGUUUUUGAUGAGGAGGAAGAAGAAGAUGCUCUUCGUGAUUUGCAAAACGAACCUGCUGAGGAAUUAGCAGUAGAGCAUACACCUGCAACAGGUGAUAAUGCUGAGAGAUAUGUGGUCACUCCUAGUGACAGACGUCAUUGUAUCUUGGAGGAUGUGGAUGGCGAGCUUGAAAUGGAAGAUGUUUCUGGUCACCCAAAAGAUGAAAGACCUUUGUUUGGAGAUGAUGUGAACCAGUCUGGCUCAGAUCGAACCCUGGAAUCAGCUUUAGAUAAUAUAUCUGAUUUGCCGCCUCUUCCUAUGGGAUCCCCACCAUUACCUCCUUGUUCUCCUCCACCCACCCCACCUUUGCCUUCCUCUCCCCCUCCAUCACCGGUGCCACCUCCACUUCCAUUAUCUCCAUUGCCACCACCGCCACCACCACCACCACCACCACCACCACUUCCUCCAUCACAACCCCCACUACCUCCAUCUCAGCCACAUCCUUUCCCUCCACUGCCCGCUGGACCACCUCCGCUGAUGUUCCCUCAACCUUCUUUUCCACUCCAACAUGAAGUAGGGACAAAACACUUACACUCCCUCACUCCAUCAGUACCAUCACCAUCACCUGUAGUGGCAUAUGCGCAACCUCCUCUUCCAAACGAAGUCGGUAGCAUACCUAGUGGUCAUCGGUUACCACAGGUAGCUGGAAACAUGCUUCAUGGUCCUCGUAUCAAUGCAUCUAGUAGGAAUGAGGUAUUCCCAUUGCAAUCACCUUCUUUUACACCAGCAGGAGUUAGUAAUUCACGGGAAUCUUCUGGAUAUAGUUCGCGGCCUUUGGAAUAUGGUUACAACGAUGCAUAUAUAAACCCACCAGUUUGUCAGUCCACUCAGAAAUUUCAAUCUGGUAAUGCGGCUUUUGCCCCAAGGCCCAUGCAUCUUAACCCUCCACAUCAAAUCCCCUCCAAUAGUUUUUCGUAUCCAAGGGCCCCAGUGCAGCAACAUCCACAGCAAGCAUAUCCUGCACCAUGCUCAUUACCAGAGCGCCCUGAUGGAUCAAGGCGUCAUAUUGGUGAUGAACAGUGGAGGGUUCAACCCAAUGAGUUCAAUGGUGACCAUCAGCGUGGUAUGUGGAUUGGUGCAGGAAGAUCAUGCCCUGGUCCAACUAUUGCUCAAGAAGGUUAUUUCAGACCUCCUGAUAGACCACCUGUGAGUAAUGUUGGAUUCCAGCCUUCUGGAUCAAAUGCUUUCCCUACUGGUCCUCCAAUUUCAGGUCAUGGAAUGCCUUGCCGACCGGAUGUAACUGUCCUCAGCUGGAGGCCAGCAUGAGAGUCGUUGGCAGUUGGUUUGAUCUUCGUAUCUAAUGGUGGCUCAAGUAGGAUACAGGACUGACAUCUGGAAAAAAGACAGUCAUUAGAGCAAUUGCUGUUAAGUUGGGUGACCCUCGGCAGGAUUUUGUACUAUUGUAAUUUUCCUGACAAAUGCAUUUCAAGACACAUACUUAACAAAGUGUAUUUACAGAAGAUAGCUAGUCAGAAUGCAACAUUGUAGCCCUUUAUUGGUCAGCAGUACAAUAAGAUCUAAUUGAUCCUGCCAGAUUGUUCUGCUGCAAAAUUCUGAGGUAAUUGUGUAGUCAGAUGCCUGAACUGUAGCAGUGCCACUGCUUCCUUUUUUGUCCGUUCACCACAAAAUGGUGGUCAUUUUUUGUGAAAGAACAUUUGCAGUUCAUAUGUUUUUUUUGUUUUUUUUUUUUUAAAGUAAGAAGAGUUAUGUAAAAUUUUCAUGUAUAUCUGUUGUCGGAUGGAGUAACAAUUUUGGGAAAAAAGGUAAUUGUGUAUAUAAUUCGAAAUAUUAUAUGAGUAAGUAGGAUAUCUACAAUAUUCAUCCCUCCCACCCUCAAAUCUUUGUACUAUGCUGUUGAUUGACCAAUUGACAUCGUGCAAUCUGCUUUAAUAAAGGAAUUUUUUCAUGGGACUUUUCAGCAGUGAUUUUGUGCAGUGGAUGUUAAUGUUACACACAUCUGAACUUCAUUAACUGCACUGUUUAUGGACAUUGACUGGCGUACAUGUCCAAACCGUGAUGUUGUAUUUGGAUGUUUGGAUCUGAAGUUUUCUUGAUAUUAUAAUCAGUUUUAGGAGACAAUGGUAACUUUUGGGUUAUGUUUUUUAAAAUUUGGAGUGCUCUGACUCAAUCUCACUGCUGUUGAGGUGCCUGAACAUUUAAUCAUAAGCUGACAGUCCGAUGAUCUGUGCUUAUCUUGAAAGAACAUGGAACAUGGGUUUAGCCAUUAAAGAUCACGACUUCUGGUGAAGAUGAAGGGGAUGGCCCAAGAGAAUUGAGAAAGGAGAGAUGUUAAGGUUGUGGAUGGUGGGAAAGCAAAUUGGAGAGUAUUUCAUCUGUGUUGACCUACUUGAAAAAAUGAGAAGAUUAGCUGGGCUAGAAAAUUUACUGUUUCGUGGUAAUUGGUGAAGACUAGCUUCUUGAAAGCUUUACCGGAGGUGCAUUUUAUCUGCUUGAGAUUUCCUGGAAAUUAAUCUUUUGGUGCCAAGGAAGGGCAGAAAAAUGAAAAAUGAAAUUGUAGGAAAUUGUUUUGCUGUAUGUGUUUUCAUUUUUUUUUUUGUGAUAAUACAUGUGAAGUGGAAGAACGGUGUAGCUGAGGUGGACAAUAUUCAAUGCUUGGACCCAGAUUAACAGAAAACAGUGCUCUGGAGUAAACGUCAAAUGUCAAUGCUUCUAAAAGGGUCAUGCAUUCAUCAAGACAAAGUGGUAUGGACGUUUUCUACUUGUGUUGAAGUUGAAGCAAAUAAAUUAUGGGUAUUUUAUCAAACAAUGAUUAUGAUUGGAAUCUGUUGUCGUGAUAUUGUUGUGAAAGCAUUUUUAGUUUAAGUAGGUGCUGAUUUGUGUUUAUAGUUGUCGUAUUCUGCAUAUUACUAAAAAAGAAACGGAGGACAGAACCAAUAUGUAUUUAUACCUAUCAACUCACUUGCCCCUUAUCCAAUAUUUGUGAUGUCACUCUCAGGCA